This 468-nucleotide ribosomal RNA is filed under the name uncultured bacterium. RNAcentral describes it as "partial 16S ribosomal RNA". It matches the Rfam family "Bacterial small subunit ribosomal RNA", at positions 28 to 507 of the family's 1533-position model. The record is from RNAcentral.
GACGAACGCUGGCGGCGUGCUUAACACAUGCAAGUCGAACGGGAAGGCCCUGCUUUUGUUGGGUGCUCGAUUGGCGAACGGGGGAGUAACACGUGAGUAACCUUCCCUUUACUUUGGGAUAACUUUAGGAAACUGGGGCUAAUACCCGAUAGGAUCUCCUGCUUCAUUGUGGGGGUUGGAAAGUUUCGGCGGUUGGGGAUGGACUCGCGGCUUAUCCGCUUGUUGGUGGGGUAGUGGCUUACCAAGGCUUUGACGGGUAGCCGGCCUGAGAGGGUGACCGGCCACAUUGGGACUGAGAUACGGCCCAGACUCCUACGGGAGGCAGCAGUGGGGAAUAUUGCACAAUGGGCGGAAGCCUGAUGCAGCAACGCCGCGUGCGGGAUGACGGCCUUCGGGUUGUAAACCGCUUUCGCCUGUGACGAAGCGUGAGUGACGGUAAUGGGUAAAGAAGCACCGGCUAACUACGUG